Molecule: small nuclear RNA, 103 nt
Organism: Ursus americanus (American black bear)
Lineage: Eukaryota; Metazoa; Chordata; Mammalia; Carnivora; Ursidae
Source: Ensembl
GUGCUAGCUUCAGCAGCACAUAUACUAAAAUGGGAAUCAUACAGAGAUUAGCAUGGACCCUGCACAAGGACGAUGGAAAGACGAUGAACUGUUAGCUAUAAAC